CUUUUACUCCUACGGGAGGCAGCAGUGGGGAAUAUUGCACAAUGGGCGGAAGCCUGAUGCAGCGACGCCGCGUGAGGGAUGACGGCCUUCGGGUUGUAAACCUCUUUCAGUAGGGAAGAAGCGAAAGUGACGGUACCUGCAGAAGAAGCGCCGGCUAACUACGUGCCAGCAGCCGCGGUAAUACGUAGGGCGCAAGCGUUAUCCGGAAUUAUUGGGCGUAAAGAGCUUGUAGGCGGUUUGUCGCGUCUGCCGUGAAAGUCCGGGGCUCAACUCCGGAUCUGCGGUGGGUACGGGCAGACUAGAGUGAUGUAGGGGAGACUGGAAUUCCUGGUGUAGCGGUGAAAUGCGCAGAUAUCAGGAGGAACACCGAUGGCGAAGGCAGGUCUCUGGGCAUUAACUGACGCUGAGGAGCGAAAGCAUGGGGAGCGAACAGGAUUAGAUACCCUGGUAGUCCAUGCCGUAAACGUUGGGCACUAGGUGUGGGGGACAUUCCACGUUUUCCGCGCCGUAGCUAACGCAUUAAGUGCCCCGCCUGGGGAGUACGGCCGCAAGGCUAAAACUCAAAGGAAUUGACGGGGGCCCGCACAAGCGGCGGAGCAUGCGGAUUAAUUUGAUGCAACGCGAAGAACCUUACCAAGGCUUGACAUGAACCGGUAAGACCUGAAACCAGGCCCCCCACU
RNAcentral lists this ribosomal RNA (680 nucleotides) under Arthrobacter sp. Its description in RNAcentral is "bacterial SSU rRNA". It matches the Rfam family "Bacterial small subunit ribosomal RNA", at positions 330 to 1019 of the family's 1533-position model. The record is from RNAcentral. Lineage: Bacteria; Bacillati; Actinomycetota; Actinomycetes; Micrococcales; Micrococcaceae.